UCGAUGGUUCGAAAGAAGCACUCACCAAAGGAAGAGCACUCAGUUGAAAAAAGAAAAAAAAUAAUAUCAAAAAAAAAUAACGAGCGAUUGAAAAAGAAAAGAAGUAAAAUGAACAAACACAGUGAAAAGAAUAUUGACAUUGGCUCUGAACCUAAAACUACUUGUUUUCAUUUUUGUUUGUGUUUACCACACCAUAACCCAAG
This 203-nucleotide long non-coding RNA is filed under the name Lathyrus oleraceus (garden pea). RNAcentral's name for it is "Pisum sativum (pea) long non-coding RNA (PSAT_LNC014569)". The record is from RNAcentral. Lineage: Eukaryota; Viridiplantae; Streptophyta; Magnoliopsida; Fabales; Fabaceae.